RNAcentral lists this ribosomal RNA (301 nucleotides) under uncultured bacterium. RNAcentral's name for it is "partial 16S ribosomal RNA". It matches the Rfam family "Bacterial small subunit ribosomal RNA", at positions 509 to 807 of the family's 1533-position model. The record is from RNAcentral.
CAGUCGCCGCGGUAAUACAGAGGGUGCAAGCGUUAUUCGGAAUUACUGGGCGUAAAGCGCACGCAGGCGGUUGCCCAAGUCAGAUGUGAAAGCCCCGGGCUUAACCUGGGAACUGCAUUUGAAACUGGGCAACUAGAGUAUGAAAGAGGAAAGCGGAAUUUCCAGUGUAGCAGUGAAAUGCGUAGAUAUUGGAAGGAACACCGAUGGCGAAGGCAGCUUUCUGGGUCGAUACUGACGCUCAUGUGCGAAAGCGUGGGGAGCAAACAGGAUUAGAUACCCCUGUAGUCCCUGUCUCUUAUAC